Molecule: ribosomal RNA, 495 nt
Filed under: uncultured bacterium
Lineage: Bacteria
Description: bacterial SSU rRNA
Rfam family: Bacterial small subunit ribosomal RNA
Source: RNAcentral
AGUGAACGCUGGCGGCAUGCCUAACACAUGCAAGUCGAACGGCAGCACAGCAGUAGCAAUACUGUGGGUGGCGAGUGGCGGACGGGUGAGGAACACAUCGGAAUUUGCCCAGUCGUGGGGGAUAACGUAGGGAAACUUACGCUAAUACCGCAUACGACCUUACGGUGAAAGCGGGGGAUCGCAAGACCUCGCGCGGAUGGAUGAGCCGAUGUCGGAUUAGCUAGUUGGUGGGGUAAAGGCCUACCAAGGCGACGAUCCGUAGCUGGUCUGAGAGGAUGAUCAGCCACACUGGGACUGAGACACGGCCCAGACUCCUACGGGAGGCAGCAGUGGGGAAUAUUGGACAAUGGGGGCAACCCUGAUCCAGCAAUGCCGCGUGUGUGAAGAAGGCCUCGGUUGUAAGACUUUAUCCGUACGAACGUAGCGGGUGGAUAGACUCGUAACUGACGGUACCGGACGGAAUAAGACACCGCGUACUUACGUGUCCAGCAGCCG